Long non-coding RNA from Hippopotamus amphibius kiboko, 203 nucleotides. RefSeq lists it as uncharacterized. The transcript has 3 exons. The record is from RefSeq and is a predicted model, not a curated record. Lineage: Eukaryota; Metazoa; Chordata; Mammalia; Artiodactyla; Hippopotamidae.
GACCGGAGCGCAUGCGGAGGGGAGCGCAGCGGCAGGUUUUCGGGGGCGUCAGGAACAGAAGGACCUGGUGAUGCUCUCGUUACCUGGAGGGAAGAAAAGGCUAUUUGUGACAUUCUACCCAGCAACAACUCUGGUGUCUAUUCACAGUUAUUACAACUAACAGCCAGCAUCAGCAUCCUUACCCUCCUCACGGUGUCUGCUUG